ACGCUGGCGGCGUGCCUAAUACAUGCAAGUAGAACGCUGAAGGAGGAGCUUGCUUCUCCGGAUGAGUUGCGAACGGGUGAGUAACGCGUAGGUAACCUGCCUGGUAGCGGGGGAUAACUAUUGGAAACGAUAGCUAAUACCGCAUAAUAGUAGAUGUUGCAUGACAUUUGCUUAAAAGGUGCAAUUGCAUCACUACCAGAUGGACCUGCGUUGUAUUAGCUAGUUGGUGGGGUAACGGCUCACCAAGGCGACGAUACAUAGCCGACCUGAGAGGGUGAUCGGCCACACUGGGGCUGAGACACGGCCCAGACUCCUACGGGAGGCAGCAGUAGGGAAUCUUCGGCAAUGGACGGAAGUCUGACCGAGCAACGCCGCGUGAGUGAAGAAGGUUUUCGGAUCGUAAAGCUCUGUUGUAAGAGAAGAACGAGUGUGAGAGUGGAAAGUUCACACCGUGACGGUAUCUUACCAGAAAGGGACGGCUAACUACGUGCCAGCAGCCGCGGUAAUACGUAGGUCCCGAGCGUUGUCCGGAUUUAUUGGGCGUAAAGCGAGCGCAGGCGGUUAGAUAAGUCUGAAGUUAAAGGCUGUGGCUUAACCAUAGUACGCUUUGGAAACUGUUUAACUUGAGUGCAAGAGGGGAGAGUGGAAUUCCAUGUGUAGCGGUGAAAUGCGUAGAUAUAUGGAGGAACACCGGUGGCGAAAGCGGCUCUCUGGCUUGUAACUGACGCUGAGGCUCGAAAGCGUGGGGAGCAAACAGGAUUAGAUACCCUGGUAGUCCACGCCGUAAACGAUGAGUGCUAGGUGUUAGACCCUUUCCGGGGUUUAGUGCCGCAGCUAACGCAUUAAGCACUCCGCCUGGGGAGUACGACCGCAAGGUUGAAACUCAAAGGAAUUGACGGGGGCCCGCACAAGCGG
Molecule: ribosomal RNA, 915 nt
Filed under: uncultured bacterium
Lineage: Bacteria
Description: bacterial SSU rRNA
Rfam family: Bacterial small subunit ribosomal RNA
Source: RNAcentral